RNAcentral lists this long non-coding RNA (569 nucleotides) under Populus tremula. RNAcentral describes it as "long non-coding RNA (PTRE_LNC003473)". The record is from RNAcentral. Lineage: Eukaryota; Viridiplantae; Streptophyta; Magnoliopsida; Malpighiales; Salicaceae.
UUUUCUUUCUCUUUUCUUACCUCCUUCUACUCACCCUCUAUUUAUACACAAAUUGUAAGUAAGAAAAUAUCAAAGCUCAAGUGUGAACAUCAAUAGAUGGUGGUAGUGUGAAGGCUGCUGGCUGCUGGCUGCUGGCUGCUGGCUGCUGGGUGCUGGCUGCUGGGUUGAGGUUGGUGGCUGCCAUGAGGUUGGUGGCUGCCAUGAGAUUGGUGGCUGCCUUCCUUGACCUUCUAGAAUAUUUACUAGAGGAGCUAAAUUUCUGGUCGGUUUGGAUGCUUCUAGAUGAAAUUUGGAUUCGUUUCUUCACGCAACCUGCUUGCUGGCAGAAUUCAGCUGUCAUCUUUGAAAAAUCAUAUAUCCCUCAUAUGACAUCGUUUUUGGCUGAAAUUUGGAGCGUUUAUAGAUCUUUGAGUAAGGAAUCCAACACAAUUGAGUUUGCAUCAAUUGGACUUCUGAAGCUCCAGAUAUUGAAUUUUUAAUGGGCAAAGGUCAACAUUGGCAGACUGCGAGAUUUGACUUUGAAGGAUGUGAUUUCCAUGAUCUUUCUCUUUUUAUUUUUCUUGCAUUAC